CAGGGAAUAGUUUAAUAAGAAUUUCAGUUUUGGGUACUGAUGGUGGGAUUUUUUCUAUCUCUUCCUUGA
This 69-nucleotide transfer RNA is filed under the name Cavia porcellus (domestic guinea pig). RNAcentral describes it as "tRNA-Pro". Lineage: Eukaryota; Metazoa; Chordata; Mammalia; Rodentia; Caviidae. The record is from RNAcentral.